This 253-nucleotide ribosomal RNA is filed under the name uncultured bacterium. Its description in RNAcentral is "partial 16S ribosomal RNA". It matches the Rfam family "Bacterial small subunit ribosomal RNA", at positions 524 to 776 of the family's 1533-position model. The record is from RNAcentral.
UACGUAGGGGGCAAGCGUUGUCCGGAUUUAUUGGGCGUAAAGAGCGUGUAGGCGGCCAGACAGGUCCGUUGUGAAAACUCGAGGCUCAACCUCGAGACGUCGACGGAAACCGUAUGGCUAGAGUCCGGAAGAGGAGAGUGGAAUUCCUGGUGUAGCGGUGAAAUGCGCAGAUAUCAGGAAGAACACCAAUGGCGAAGGCAGCUCUCUGGGACGGUACUGACGCUGAGACGCGAAAGCGUGGGGAGCGAACAGG